RNAcentral lists this transfer RNA (64 nucleotides) under Hemigyrus spinosus spinosus. Its description in RNAcentral is "tRNA-Gly". The record is from RNAcentral. Lineage: Eukaryota; Metazoa; Arthropoda; Insecta; Orthoptera; Tettigoniidae.
AUUCACUUAGUAUAUAUUAGUACUUUUGACUUCCAAUCAAAAAGAUUGUAAACCAAAGUGAAUA